UACGAAGGUCCCAAGCGUUGUUCGGAAUCACUGGGCGUAAAGGGAGCGUAGGCGGCGCGGUAAGUCAGAUGUGAAAUCCCGGGGCUCAACCCCGGAACUGCAUCCGAUACUGCCGUGCUAGAGUUUUGGAGAGGUAGUCGGAAUUCACGGUGUAGCAGUGAAAUGCGUGGAUAUCGUGAGGAACACUCGUGGCGAAAGCGGGCUACUGGACAACAACUGACGCUGAGGCUCGAAGGCCAGGGGAGCGAAAGGG
RNAcentral lists this non-coding RNA (253 nucleotides) under bacterium. Its description in RNAcentral is "partial 16S ribosomal RNA". It matches the Rfam family "Bacterial small subunit ribosomal RNA", at positions 524 to 776 of the family's 1533-position model. The record is from RNAcentral. RNAcentral also lists the same sequence under 2 other names.